Long non-coding RNA from Perognathus longimembris pacificus (Pacific pocket mouse), 2219 nucleotides. RefSeq lists it as uncharacterized. The record is from RefSeq and is a predicted model, not a curated record. The transcript is spliced from 2 exons. Lineage: Eukaryota; Metazoa; Chordata; Mammalia; Rodentia; Heteromyidae.
UAAAUAGCCAAAUAAAUUUAAAAACAAUAUAGUCCCAGGAUUCUGAUGUAAACUUCUCUACACAACACUUUUUUAUUCAUAUUCUAGGCAGAUCAGUCUCUUACUCCUUCUACACACUUCUAGUGUUAAUUUACUAACAUUACAGUGCUGUACUGAAAGACUUUCCCUAACUCUUCAUCUGUGCAUAUUCUAUUCAUUCGUCAAAUAUAACUGGCAUUCUGUCUUUUUUUAUAGAACCUAACCACUUCCUUAUCAAAACUGAGAGGAGAAGGAUAGCUUCCUUCACAAUUUUUGUUGCUAAUCUAUCAAUAUUUGCUUCUGUUUAACUCUUAGCUACCUUCAUAGGUGGUAACUGGUGGGAGAUGCUGGAGCUUAGGUCUUUCAGAAUCUCAACAUCCAGAUAGUGUUGCACACACAAGUGUUUUUAAAGUUGGUAGAGAUUUGUCCUCCCUACUUCCCAAGGAAAGGCUGUACCUAUGAUAACAAAUGUUCUUGAAGAUCCUAGAGUUGGGGAACCCCAAGUUUUCUACAAAGUCUAUAUGAAUAAUUAAACCAUAAUGUUAGAUUUACUGUAUAGUUUUCCCAGCAAGAAUUUUAAAGCAGAAAGAAGGUAUUCAUGAAUCUCUGAAUCCAGAAUGCAUUCUAGAACUUCCAGAACUGCCAAUAGACACAGCUAUUUAAGCUAAAUUGGAAGGAAAAAAAAUCCACUUUUCCAAUCAUAUUCCAAUCAGCCUAUAAAAGUGCUCCAAAGAUGUACAAACAGAGUAGAUUAUUUAUGCCACUGAGCUAAAUGUUAUUGGACAAAUAUGUUCUAGACUAAUGAGAAACAAAUAGUGAAAAUAAAUUCCUAUUUUCUAUACAUGGCAUUCUAGAAUAUAUGCCCACUUGAGGAUUCUAUCUAAAAUUAUUCAAUAGAUUUGAAUUAUAAAACUGAUAAGAUUUCAUUCAAAAUCAAGUUCAUAUUGGUUAAAGUCCUUGUUUCUACUACCUUUAUACAUUCAGUUUCUUCUCAUACAUAUGCUAUAGCAAUCUCAUCUAUACAGAAGCAUAAAAAUGACCCACAAUAUACUGCUGUCCUACUGCUGUCUUUACUUGGUGUUGAUCACCAGGUAAACACAAGAACUACAGUUUCCUGUUAGUGAAAGUAUAUGUUGAUCUUUAUGACAAUAGUGAAAUUAUCAAACACUUUUCAAAUUAUCUGCCGAAGUUCUGCUACUAAGAUAAGCUUACUUAUAAUAAAAUUACAGUGCCUUCUCCAAAUAUGAAAGACAAGAUUAGAUCAAGAAUACAAGACCUAGAUUUGAUUGUUUGUCUCUGUGCACACCUAUAAACUUGAUUCCACAAAGUUCUGUUUAGUAUUCCCUUGAAAACUGUCAUCUUAAAGUGGAAAUGGAGACAAGAUUGUCCAGGCCCUCAUUGUAACAUGACACUGGUGUGAUACUCUCUACCCGAGCAAUUUCAUUUUGUGGAGUAAAUAACUUUUAUUACUUUCCAAGGUCUUAAAACUUACAGAAAACAUGUCAAAGCAUCCAAAGUUUACUUUCAAUUUCAAGACACUGGAAUGACUAUAAAAAUAAAAAAUUGGAACGAUUUAUAGAUUUGGAUGCCCAACAUUUUACACAUUGCAGACUCUAAGUCCCCUCUGUGGCUUAAAAGGUUGACACUACUCAUUUUAAAAGGAUUGUCUACACAACUAUUGGCCCCUCAGGACUUAGCCACCACAGGACUUCUUUUUGAGUCUUUGGAAAGGGAAAAGAUGAAAAAGAAAUCGAAAAUAUUCCAAACAAAACAAAAAAAGUAUAAACUUAUAUUUUAGUACAUUCCCCAUAAUACAGUAAGCUUAGUGAAAGGACAUAUACAUUCUAUUUUAUUAAUAUAUUUAUACUUUCAGUUCAAAGGAUGAGAAUGAUGAUUUGAUAUUAUUUUCCAUAUUAUUAUCCUAUAUUCAUAAAAGCAAUGUCAACCAGUCAAAGGUAUUCAGCUAUACCUUUCUCUUCAUAAGAAUUUCUGAAUAGGUAAUACACAAUCUAAAAAUGAGAAAAAUAAUUAUUUCUUAGUGAAUAGACAUAGCUGAUCCUACUGUUUCAGUAAAUCUGAAAAGUAGUGGAAAAGCACAAGUCAAACCUAAGUUUUACUUAACACUCUUAACACUGGCAACUGAGGCUACACUUUAUUGAUAUCUACAUGUCAACAUAUUGAAUGAUAAAAGACAAAUAAAA